RNAcentral lists this unclassified non-coding RNA (272 nucleotides) under plant metagenome. RNAcentral's name for it is "partial contains small subunit ribosomal RNA, internal transcribed spacer 1, and 5.8S ribosomal RNA". The record is from RNAcentral.
UUUCCGUAGGUGAACCUGCGGAAGGAUCAUUAAUGAGUUGUCAUGGGGUUCGAUGCUGGCAGCUAGUUUUUGGAUGCAUGUGCUUGCCCUAACAAUCAUCUUCUUCCAAACACCUGUGCACAUUUUUGAGGGAGUCUUGAGUUGGUUGCCGCUCUUGGGUGAUUUUCUCACAUUCCCUUAAAUCAUUAUACGCUAUUAACAAUGUUGAACGUGCUCUGUGCCGCAAGGCCAUUAAUAUAAUACAACUUUUAACAACGGAUCUCUUGGCUCUC